Molecule: long non-coding RNA, 441 nt
Organism: Spea bombifrons (plains spadefoot toad)
Lineage: Eukaryota; Metazoa; Chordata; Amphibia; Anura; Pelobatidae
Exons: 2
Source: RefSeq, a predicted model, not a curated record
GCUGUAGGGGUCAGAGCAUGCACAUGCCAUCAUGCAUGAUCCAGCCCCCAUGAUCCUUCCCUGACCGCACAAACUGCUGCUCUCUAAUCCUCUUGUUUGGGAUCUGCUGCACCGAUGCACUCAGCAUUGUUCUUCGGAGCCAGAAGACAAAGACUAGGUGGCGAUUUCACGGGGCUGUCAUUAGGAGCACGUUGGUAAUUGCUAGAAGCCCAGGGAUAGCGGAGGGGUGUGGAUCCUCUCCAUACUGCUGCCAUCGCAUCACAUUUGUUUGCUGGAGUGGGAGCCCCUUGUUGUAGAACCGAGGAGAUCUAUCUGUGAGCUAAAGCCAGAAGGAAGAUGUUCUGCACUGGGAUCUGCUGCCCUGCACCCUCCAUGACCACUGCUGAUCACUGAGCCCCAGUAAUGACAGAAUCUGGUGAAUAUUUCCAGGAUAAUAGAGAA